Molecule: transfer RNA, 73 nt
Filed under: Argiope bruennichi
Lineage: Eukaryota; Metazoa; Arthropoda; Arachnida; Araneae; Araneidae
Also listed under: 1 other name
Description: transfer RNA tyrosine (anticodon GUA)
Rfam family: tRNA
About the family: Transfer RNA (tRNA) molecules are approximately 80 nucleotides in length. Their secondary structure includes four short double-helical elements and three loops (D, anti-codon, and T loops).
Source: RNAcentral
CCGUCGAUAGCUCAGUUGGCAGAGCAGUGGACUGUAGAUCCAUAGGUCGCUGGUUCGACUCCGGCUCGACGGA